ACUCCUACGGGAGGCAGCAGUAGGGAAUAUUGGGCAAUGGUCGGAAGACUGACCCAGCCAUGCCGCGUGCAGGAAGACGGCCUAUUGGUUGUAAACUGCUUUUAUCUGGGAAGAAAAGGGCCAUGCGUGGCAAAUUGCCGGUACCAGAUGAAUAAGCACCGGCUAACUCCGUGCCAGCAGCCGCGGUAAUACGGAGGGGUGCAAGCGUUGUCCGGAUUUAUUGGGUUUAAAGGGUGCGUAGGCGGCUGAUUAAGUCAGCGGUGAAAGACUCCGGCUCAACCGGAGCAGUGCCGUUGAUACUGGUUAGCUUGAGUGCUGCAGGGGUACAUGGAAUUGAUGGUGUAGCGGUGAAAUGCAUAGAUACCAUCAGGAACACCGAUAGCGAAGGCAUUGUACUGGGCAGCAACUGACGCUGAGGCACGAAAGCGUGGGGAUCGAACAGGAUUAGAUA
Molecule: ribosomal RNA, 451 nt
Filed under: uncultured bacterium
Lineage: Bacteria
Description: bacterial SSU rRNA
Rfam family: Bacterial small subunit ribosomal RNA
Source: RNAcentral